GGAAGUGUUAUUCAUUGAUAGAACAUUCGUCUGGAAUGUGUAAGGCCUUGGGUUCCAUCCCUAACACUUACA
This 72-nucleotide transfer RNA is filed under the name Dipodomys ordii (Ord's kangaroo rat). It matches the Rfam family "tRNA". From Rfam's summary of the family: Transfer RNA (tRNA) molecules are approximately 80 nucleotides in length. Their secondary structure includes four short double-helical elements and three loops (D, anti-codon, and T loops). Further hydrogen bonds mediate the characteristic L-shaped molecular structure. tRNAs have two regions of fundamental functional importance: the anti-codon, which is responsible for specific mRNA codon recognition, and the 3' end, to which the tRNAs corresponding amino acid is attached (by aminoacyl-tRNA synthetases). tRNAs cope with the degeneracy of the genetic code in two manners: having more than one tRNA (with a specific anti-codon) for a particular amino acid; and 'wobble' base-pairing, i.e. permitting non-standard base-pairing at the 3rd anti-codon position. The record is from Rfam by way of RNAcentral. Lineage: Eukaryota; Metazoa; Chordata; Mammalia; Rodentia; Heteromyidae.